UACGUAGGGCGCAAGCGUUAUCCGGAAUUAUUGGGCGUAAAGAGCUCGUAGGUGGUUUGUCGCGUUGUUCGUGAAAACUCACAGCUUAACUGUGGGCGUGCGGGCGAUACGGGCAGACUGGAGUACUGCAGGGGAGACUGGAAUUCCUGGUGUAGCGGUGGAAUGCGCAGAUAUCAGGAGGAACACCGGUGGCGAAGGCGGUUCUCUGGGCAUGACCUGACGCUGAGGAGCGAAAGUGUGGGGAGCGAACAGG
Molecule: ribosomal RNA, 253 nt
Filed under: uncultured bacterium
Lineage: Bacteria
Description: partial 16S ribosomal RNA
Rfam family: Bacterial small subunit ribosomal RNA
Source: RNAcentral